GCCUCGUUCAACGUGUUCUGCUUAUUUAAUCAAAGUUAAACGUGCAUCGUGAUUUUCAAAGUCUUAUUUUGCGUGCUCGGUAUUUUCAAAUAAAAUUCACACUUGGCAGGGAUCUGUCAGAAUACUUUUUAAAAGCUGUAAACCAAUUAAAUCAUAAAUGUGUAUACUAAAUCGGGAAUAUCAAGUAAAACAAAGAGUUAAUAUAUACAAAAAGACAGUGAUUCAGUCACAAAAGGUUCACAUAAAAGUAUUUAUUUUUCGUGCAACGUUCAUUACAGAAAUUAUUUCACGUUCAACGUGAAAUUAUGUCUUAUUUCACGUUUUUUUCGUGCAAGCACCCCCCUUUACCAC
RNAcentral lists this long non-coding RNA (351 nucleotides) under Mytilus galloprovincialis (Mediterranean mussel). Lineage: Eukaryota; Metazoa; Mollusca; Bivalvia; Mytilida; Mytilidae. The record is from RNAcentral.